UGGGGAAUAUUGCACAAUGGGCGAAAGCCUGAUGCAGCGACGCCGCGUGCGGGAUGAAGGCCUUCGGGUUGUAAACCGCUUUUGAUUGGGAGCAAGCGAGAGUGAGUGUACCUUUCGAAUAAGCACCGGCUAACUACGUGCCAGCAGCCGCGGUAAUACGUAGGGUGCAAGCGUUAUCCGGAAUUAUUGGGCGUAAAGAGCUCGUAGGCGGCUUGUCGCGUCUGGUGUGAAAGUCCAUCGCUUAACGGUGGAUCUGCGCCGGGUACGGGCAGGCUAGAGUGCGACAGGGGAGACUGGAAUUCCCGGUGUAACGGUGGAAUGUGUAGAUAUCGGGAAGAACACCAAUGGCGAAGGCAGGUCUCUGGGUCGUCACUGACGCUGAGGAGCGAAAGCGUGGGGAGCGAACAGGAUUAGAUACCCUGGUAGUCCACGCCGUAAACGGUGGAUGCUGGAUGUGGGGC
This 461-nucleotide ribosomal RNA is filed under the name uncultured bacterium. RNAcentral's name for it is "partial 16S ribosomal RNA". It matches the Rfam family "Bacterial small subunit ribosomal RNA", at positions 355 to 828 of the family's 1533-position model. The record is from RNAcentral.